RNAcentral lists this ribosomal RNA (2926 nucleotides) under Klebsiella oxytoca. RNAcentral's name for it is "bacterial LSU rRNA". It matches the Rfam family "Bacterial large subunit ribosomal RNA". The record is from RNAcentral. Lineage: Bacteria; Pseudomonadati; Pseudomonadota; Gammaproteobacteria; Enterobacterales; Enterobacteriaceae.
GGGUUGUGAGGUUAAGCGACUAAGCGUACACGGUGGAUGCCCUGGCAGUCAGAGGCGAUGAAGGACGUGCUAAUCUGCGAAAAGCGUCGGUAAGGUGAUAUGAACCGUUAUAGCCGGCGAUGUCCGAAUGGGGAAACCCAGUGCAAUUCGUUGCACUAUCGUUAACUGAAUACAUAGGUUAACGAGGCGAACCGGGGGAACUGAAACAUCUAAGUACCCCGAGGAAAAGAAAUCAACCGAGAUUCCCCCAGUAGCGGCGAGCGAACGGGGAGCAGCCCGGAGUCUGAAUCAGCUUGUGUGUUAGUGGAAGCGUCUGGAAAGUCGCAGGGUACAGGGUGAUACUCCCGUACACUAAAACACACAGGUUGUGAACUCGAAGAGUAGGGCGGGACACGUGGUAUCCUGUCUGAAUAUGGGGGGACCAUCCUCCAAGGCUAAAUACUCCUGACUGACCGAUAGUGAACCAGUACCGUGAGGGAAAGGCGAAAAGAACCCCGGCGAGGGGAGUGAAAAAGAACCUGAAACCGUGUACGUACAAGCAGUAGGAGCCCACUAGUUGGGUGACUGCGUACCUUUUGUAUAAUGGGUCAGCGACUUAUAUUCUGUAGCAAGGUUAACCGUAUAGGGGAGCCGCAGGGAAACCGAGUCUUAACUGGGCGUUAAGUUGCAGGGUAUAGACCCGAAACCCGGUGAUCUAGCCAUGGGCAGGUUGAAGGUUGGGUAACACUAACUGGAGGACCGAACCGACUAAUGUUGAAAAAUUAGCGGAUGACUUGUGGCUGGGGGUGAAAGGCCAAUCAAACCGGGAGAUAGCUGGUUCUCCCCGAAAGCUAUUUAGGUAGCGCCUCGUGAAUUCAUCUUCGGGGGUAGAGCACUGUUUCGGCUAGGGGGUCAUCCCGACUUACCAACCCGAUGCAAACUACGAAUACCGAAGAAUGUUAUCACGGGAGACACACGGCGGGUGCUAACGUCCGUCGUGAAGAGGGAAACAACCCAGACCGCCAGCUAAGGUCCCAAAGUCAUGGUUAAGUGGGAAACGAUGUGGGAAGGCCCAGACAGCCAGGAUGUUGGCUUAGAAGCAGCCAUCAUUUAAAGAAAGCGUAAUAGCUCACUGGUCGAGUCGGCCUGCGCGGAAGAUGUAACGGGGCUAAACCAUGCACCGAAGCUGCGGCAGCGACACUAUGUGUUGUUGGGUAGGGGAGCGUUCUGUAAGCCGUUGAAGGUGGCCUGUGAGGGUUGCUGGAGGUAUCAGAAGUGCGAAUGCUGACAUAAGUAACGAUAAUGCGGGUGAAAAACCCGCACGCCGGAAGACCAAGGGUUCCUGUCCAACGUUAAUCGGGGCAGGGUGAGUCGACCCCUAAGGCGAGGCCGAAAGGCGUAGUCGAUGGGAAACAGGUUAAUAUUCCUGUACUUGGUGUUACUGCGAAGGGGGACGGAGAAGGCUAUGUUGGCCGGGCGACGGUUGUCCCGGUUUAAGCAUGUAGGCGGAUGUUCCAGGUAAAUCCGGAACGUUAUUAACGCUGAGGUGUGAUGACGAGGCACUACGGUGCUGAAGUGACAAAUGCCCUGCUUCCAGGAAAAGCCUCUAAGCAUCAGGUAACAUCAAAUCGUACCCCAAACCGACACAGGUGGUCAGGUAGAGAAUACCAAGGCGCUUGAGAGAACUCGGGUGAAGGAACUAGGCAAAAUGGUGCCGUAACUUCGGGAGAAGGCACGCUGAUGGUAGGUGAAGUGACUUGCUCAUGGAGCUGAAAUCAGUCGAAGAUACCAGCUGGCUGCAACUGUUUAUUAAAAACACAGCACUGUGCAAACACGAAAGUGGACGUAUACGGUGUGACGCCUGCCCGGUGCCGGAAGGUUAAUUGAUGGGGUUAUCCUCGCGGAGAAGCUCUUGAUCGAAGCCCCGGUAAACGGCGGCCGUAACUAUAACGGUCCUAAGGUAGCGAAAUUCCUUGUCGGGUAAGUUCCGACCUGCACGAAUGGCGUAAUGAUGGCCAGGCUGUCUCCACCCGAGACUCAGUGAAAUUGAACUCGCUGUGAAGAUGCAGUGUACCCGCGGCAAGACGGAAAGACCCCGUGAACCUUUACUAUAGCUUGACACUGAACACUGGUCCUUGAUGUGUAGGAUAGGUGGGAGGCUUUGAAGUGUGGACGCCAGUCUGCAUGGAGCCGUCCUUGAAAUACCACCCUUUAAUGGCUGGUGUUCUAACGUUGGCCCCUAAUCGGGGUUGCGGACAGUGUCUGGUGGGUAGUUUGACUGGGGCGGUCUCCUCCUAAAGAGUAACGGAGGAGCACGAAGGUCAGCUAAUCCUGGUCGGACAUCAGGAGGUUAGUGCAAUGGCAUAAGCUGGCUUGACUGCGAGCGUGACGGCGCGAGCAGGUGCGAAAGCAGGUCAUAGUGAUCCGGUGGUUCUGAAUGGAAGGGCCAUCGCUCAACGGAUAAAAGGUACUCCGGGGAUAACAGGCUGAUACCGCCCAAGAGUUCAUAUCGACGGCGGUGUUUGGCACCUCGAUGUCGGCUCAUCACAUCCUGGGGCUGAAGUAGGUCCCAAGGGUAUGGCUGUUCGCCAUUUAAAGUGGUACGCGAGCUGGGUUUAGAACGUCGUGAGACAGUUCGGUCCCUAUCUGCCGUGGGCGCUGGAGAAUUGAGGGGGGCUGCUCCUAGUACGAGAGGACCGGAGUGGACGCAUCACUGGUGUUCGGGUUGUCAUGCCAAUGGCAUUGCCCGGUAGCUAAAUGCGGAAGAGAUAAGUGCUGAAAGCAUCUAAGCACGAAACUUGCCCCGAGAUGAGUUCUCCCUGACCCUUUAAGGGUCCUGAAGGAACGUUGAAGACGACGACGUUGAUAGGCCGGGUGUGUAAGCGCAGCGAUGCGUUGAGCUAACCGGUACUAAUGAACCGUGAGGCUUAACCUUACAACGCCGAAG